RNAcentral lists this unclassified non-coding RNA (336 nucleotides) under soil metagenome. Its description in RNAcentral is "partial contains 5.8S ribosomal RNA, internal transcribed spacer 2, and large subunit ribosomal RNA". The stretch from base 1 to 120 matches the Rfam family "5.8S ribosomal RNA", at positions 35 to 154 of the family's 154-position model. The record is from RNAcentral.
GAUGAAGAACGUAGCGAAAUGCGAUAAGUAGUGUGAAUUGCAGAAUUCAGUGAAUCAUCGAAUCUUUGAACGCACAUUGCGCCCCUUGGUAUUCCAUGGGGCAUGCCUGUUCGAGCGUCAUUUGUACCCUCAAGCUUUGCUUGGUGUUGGGUGUUUGUCCUCUCCUUUGCGUUUGGACUCGCCUUAAAGCAAUUGGCAGCCAGUGUUUUGGUAUUGAAGCGCAGCACAUUUUGCGAUUCUAGCCGAUAAUACUUGCGUCCAGAAGCCUUUUUUAACUUUUGACCUCGGAUCAGGUAGGGAUACCCGCUGAACUUAAGCAUAUCAAUAAGCGGAGGA